Molecule: unclassified non-coding RNA, 297 nt
Filed under: Hevea brasiliensis (rubber tree)
Lineage: Eukaryota; Viridiplantae; Streptophyta; Magnoliopsida; Malpighiales; Euphorbiaceae
Source: RNAcentral
CUCCUCUUCUUGUCCGAACUCAGAAGAAAUAGCAACGUUGGGAACGAAGCGAGAGGAAAAGGGUUGUCGGAGAACUCCCAAGGAGUGGAAAAAUGAAGUGGGAAUUGAAAUGGGCUUGGCAUGUAACCUGAGAGAAGAGGAAGAGGGAGAGACAAAAGAGAGAGAAGUGAGUUUGUUGGGGUUGCAAAAAGAGUUUUGGCGUUGAGAGAAGGAAGAGCCAGAUAAGAGGCUGAAGCAGUAGACAUGGCUCUUCUUCUGGACUUGUAAGGAUAGAAAGAGAGGAAGAUAAGAUUUUCA